ACUACUACUACUACUACUACUACUGCCACCACCACCACCACUGGUUCUUCUUCUGCCAGUAAAAAAGAAAGUCAACUUAACACAAUAAUCCUGGUGAUAAAAUUGAUAAUCUUCACCCAAAUAUGAAGAGGUUGUUUAUGAAAAAUCAAGUAUCUACAGCUGCAGAAAUAAAAUAUACAUAAAGUAUUUAAAUUAUCAUUUGCUUAUUGCCUAUGAAGGUGAACUCAGGAGAGCAUAUCACACUGUUCUCAUAAGAAUGACAUGCUUUUUGAUGGCAUCAGCAAUUCAUGACUUCCUGGGAUUCUCAGCUCCAGAAGGGGUCAAGAUGGAUUUUUAAAUAUAUAAAGUAUAUUUAAUAAAGUGUUUCUUUUCAUCUAUUUAUAUCAUAUGAACCACACUUAUAGGUGAUGGAGGAGGACAUGCUAGCACUCCAUCUGGGAAACCAAA
This is a long non-coding RNA of Dromiciops gliroides (monito del monte), 447 nucleotides long. RefSeq lists it as uncharacterized. The record is from RefSeq and is a predicted model, not a curated record. NCBI's taxonomy places the organism in Eukaryota, Metazoa, Chordata, Mammalia, Microbiotheria, Microbiotheriidae. The transcript is spliced from 4 exons.